AUUGAACGCUGGCGGCACGCCUAACACAUGCAAGUCGAACGGCAGCACAGAGGGGUAACUCUUGGGUGGCGAGUGGCGGACGGGUGAGUAACGCGUAGGAAUCUGCCCUAAAGUGGGGGAUAACUCGGGGAAACUCGAGCUAAUACCGCAUAAUCCCUAAGGGGUAAAGGGGGGGACUAACUUCGGUUGGCCUCUCGCUUUAGGAGGAGCCUGCGUAGGAUUAGCUAGUUGGUAGGGUAAUGGCCUACCAAGGCUACGAUCUUUAGCUGGUUUGAGAGAACGAUCAGCCACACUGGGACUGAGACACGGCCCAGACUCCUACGGGAGGCAGCAGUGGGGAAUAUUGGACAAUGGGGGAAACCCUGAUCCAGCGAUGCCGCGUGCGUGAAGAAGGCCUGCGGGUUGUAAAGCACUUUAGUUGGGGAAGAAAGAGUCUAGACUAAUACUCUAGGCCGUUGACGUUACCCAAAGAAUAAGCACCGGCUAACUCUGUGCCAGCAGCCGCGGUAA
RNAcentral lists this ribosomal RNA (510 nucleotides) under uncultured bacterium. RNAcentral describes it as "partial 16S ribosomal RNA". It matches the Rfam family "Bacterial small subunit ribosomal RNA", at positions 30 to 523 of the family's 1533-position model. The record is from RNAcentral.